UCGAGGGGUAUUGUUCUUCGGAAUGAGAGACCGGCGCACGGGUGCGUAACGCGUAUGCAAUCUACCUUUUGCAGAGGGAUAGCCCAGAGAAAUUUGGAUUAAUACCUCAUAGUAUGUGAGAAUGGCAUCAUUUUCACAUUAAAGUCACAACGGCAAAAGAUGAGCAUGCGUCCCAUUAGCUAGUUGGUAAGGUAACGGCUUACCAAGGCUACGAUGGGUAGGGGUCCUGAGAGGGAGAUCCCCCACACUGGUACUGAGACACGGACCAGACUCCUACGGGAGGCAGCAGUGAGGAAUAUUGGACAAUGGGCGCAAGCCUGAUCCAGCCAUGCCGCGUGCAGGAUGACGGUCCUAUGGAUUGUAAACUGCUUUUGCACAGGAAGAAACAACUCUACGUGUAGAGUCUUGACGGUACUGUGAGAAUAAGGAUCGGCUAACUCCGUGCCAGCAGCCGCGGUAAUACGGAGGAUCCAAGCGUUAUCCGGAAUCAUUGGGUUUAAAGGGUCCGUAGGCGGUUUAGUAAGUCAGUGGUGAAAGCCCAUCGCUCAACGGUGGAACGGCCAUUGAUACUGCUAGACUUGAAUUAUUAGGAAGUAACUAGAAUAUGUAGUGUAGCGGUGAAAUGCUUAGAGAUUACAUGGAAUACCAAUUGCGAAGGCAGGUUACUACUAAUGGAUUGACGCUGA
Molecule: ribosomal RNA, 686 nt
Filed under: uncultured Bacteroidota bacterium
Lineage: Bacteria; Pseudomonadati; Bacteroidota
Description: bacterial SSU rRNA
Rfam family: Bacterial small subunit ribosomal RNA
Source: RNAcentral